Molecule: unclassified non-coding RNA, 273 nt
Filed under: Glomus sp.
Lineage: Eukaryota; Fungi; Glomeromycota; Glomeromycetes; Glomerales; Glomeraceae
Description: partial contains 5.8S ribosomal RNA and internal transcribed spacer 2
Rfam family: 5.8S ribosomal RNA (bases 1-65)
Source: RNAcentral
GUGAAUCAUCGAAUCUUUGAACGCAAAUUGCACUCUCCUCGGAGAGUAUGCCUGUUUGAGGUUCAGACUAUAAAAAAUCGACAUCGUUGCUGUUUCGCGGUGGCGGUCGUCGGAAAUUGGGUCAUCUUAAAUCUUUUGGUUUUAAGCGACUUAAGAUUUUCUUUUUGGUUCCAGGAACGUUUCUAUGAUUUAUUUCUUGACACGUUGAAGGUAUCUAUUUUUAUUAGACGUGACCAUCAUAUCGGAUCUCACCCAUAUUCUUUCAUUAACUGA